AUUGAACGCUGGCGGCAUGCCUUACACAUGCAAGUCGAACGGCAGCACGGGAGCAAUCCUGGUGGCGAGUGGCGAACGGGUGAGUAAAGUAUCGGAACGUGCCCAGUCGUGGGGGAUAACGUAGCGAAAGUUACGCUAAUACCGCAUACGAUCUAUGGAUGAAAGCGGGGGAUCGCAAGACCUCGCGCGAUUGGAGCGGCCGAUAUCAGAUUAGGUAGUUGGUGGGGUAAAGGCUCACCAAGCCGACGAUCUGUAGCUGGUCUGAGAGGACGACCAGCCACACUGGGACUGAGACACGGCCCAGACUCCUACGGGAGGCAGCAGUGGGGAAUUUUGGACAAUGGGCGAAAGCCUGAUCCAGCUAUGCCGCGUGCAGGAUGAAGGCCUUCGGGUUGUAAACUGCCUUUGUACGGAACGAAAAGGUUUGGCCUAAUAAGCUGAGCUCAUGACGGUACCGUAAGAAUAAGCACCGGCUAACUACGUGCCAGCCGCCGCAGUAA
Molecule: ribosomal RNA, 500 nt
Filed under: uncultured bacterium
Lineage: Bacteria
Description: partial 16S ribosomal RNA
Rfam family: Bacterial small subunit ribosomal RNA
Source: RNAcentral